RNAcentral lists this long non-coding RNA (257 nucleotides) under Sinocyclocheilus grahami. RNAcentral's name for it is "lncRNA (ENSSGRG00000054794.1)". The record is from RNAcentral. Lineage: Eukaryota; Metazoa; Chordata; Actinopteri; Cypriniformes; Cyprinidae.
UAUCCAUCAGCCUCGGGCUACUCCACUGCGCAGGUGGGAGAGACAAUAGCAGAUGAUGCAGCUGCAGGCCAAGAUGGGGAAAUGAUGGCAGCGGGGAAAAAAGGGAAGACAAGCAACUCAUCACACUAAAACACCCAACUGGAAGGUGGCUUGCAACCGGAGUUCACCCGUCGUAUGGUGAGAGCCGAAUAGGGACCUAAAAUCCUUUCAACCCUGGUCUGUUUACUGAAAUCUACCUCCACAGCUUCAGCCCAAGC